GAAAAUGUGUUGAUUGUCAAAUUUCCAAAAGAAGGCAUGUGUGGCGCUGACAAGGAAGGAAUUCUUGUUGGUCUAAGACGUGUCCAAUUUUUCGUAUUCAAAGAUAAGUGUAGAGGGAAGAAGAAAAACCCAAUGAAUGCAGAGGAAAAAGCUACUGAAUGUGCUCUAAAAUGAUGCUUUGUUCGUUUUCAGUCUUUACACCCUUGUAGUGAGGAUGAAGUUUAUAUUUUGUCUAGUGGAAAGAUUAGUGAAGCAAGAUCCUUAUCUAUGCACAUACACAUGGUCUUGACGAUAGAAAAAUACAUGGCCAAAUUUUCCUUGAUCCUAUCAAAGAUUAUAAAGCCUCAAGUUGGUAUAAAGCUUCAAGUUGGAUUUUCUCGGCUGCUGGUAGAAAAUGCUGUAAUGAAAGAUGGAGUUCUUAUACUAGGGGUUGAUAUUGGUAGGCUUUCAACUCCUAUAUAUGAACCUACAGAAUUUACAGCUAAGUAUUUCAACAUAAACAUUAUGAACAAGGUGGCUAAGAGAAACCAAGAAGAUGAGAUGAAUGAGACAUAUGCUACCUUGCACAACUUGCUUAAUCCAAGGGUGGUGAAGAGAAUGAGGUAGCUACUAACAACAUACAAAGAAGGCAUUCCGACUUUGAACCUUGAGGACAAUGUCAAUUUAAGGGGAAGGGAUGUCAUGGCCCAUUUCAUUUAUCUUUUAUUUUAUCGAAUUGGGCUUGUAUUAUUAGUGGGCUAACCCAAAGCCCUUUACUCUUAGGGUUGUUCUAUAUAUGAUUUUGUUGGAAGACAAUGAAGGGGGAAUUGAGUCGUGUCCUGCUGCUUCUAACUCUCCUAUGUUCUUCUCCACUUCUUCUAGUUUCUACUUCUUCUUGUCUAUUCCUCCUGUUCUUCUUCUUUGGAAUUCUUUCUCUUCUCUUACUUUUGUAAGUCUUCCAUCUUCUUUACCUCUAUCAUUGCUGAAUUUGCUUCUCUUUUUUCUCCUGUGAUUCUGACCUCCACUUCCCCUAUUCCUUUUUUCUUCUUCAUGGUUAGGUGUCGCAAUUAC
This 1050-nucleotide long non-coding RNA is filed under the name Olea europaea subsp. europaea. The record is from RNAcentral. Lineage: Eukaryota; Viridiplantae; Streptophyta; Magnoliopsida; Lamiales; Oleaceae.